UAUGUGUGUAGGUAGGGAACUGUGAGGUAUGUCCUAAUUAUGUACGUAUAUAUGUGUGUAGGUAGGGAACUGUGAGGUAUGUCCUAAUUAUGUACGUAUAUAUGUGUGUAGGUAGGGAACUGUGAGGUAUGUCCUAAUUAUGUACGUAUAUAUGUGUGUAGGUAGGGAACUGUGAGGUAUGUCC
Xenia sp. Carnegie-2017 is the source of this 184-nucleotide long non-coding RNA. RefSeq lists it as uncharacterized. The transcript has 2 exons. Lineage: Eukaryota; Metazoa; Cnidaria; Anthozoa; Malacalcyonacea; Xeniidae. The record is from RefSeq and is a predicted model, not a curated record.